This 225-nucleotide non-coding RNA is filed under the name Dethiosulfatibacter aminovorans. Its description in RNAcentral is "T-box sequence". It matches the Rfam family "T-box leader". Rfam says of the family: Uncharged tRNA acts as the effector for transcription antitermination of genes in the T-box leader family. T-boxes are found upstream of many aminoacyl-tRNA synthetase genes and some amino acid biosynthetic genes usually in Gram-positive bacteria. The anticodon of a specific tRNA base pairs to a specifier sequence within the T-box motif, and the NCCA acceptor tail of the tRNA base pairs to a conserved bulge in the T-box antiterminator hairpin. Lineage: Bacteria; Bacillati; Bacillota; Tissierellia. The record is from RNAcentral.
UAAAAGACUUUGAAGGGAAGAGUAGGUUUUGAAAAGCAGUUUAGAGAGCCGGAGAUGGUGAAAACCGGUCUGUAAUAGAAGCUGAAGAUGGCCCCCGAGUUGCAGGAUUGAAACCAAGUAGGUCCUGUCGCAGUCCAGCGUUACGGGCAGGUUUAUAACCCCUGAGGUGUAUUUCGCGAGGAAUUCACGAAAAAGAGUGGUAGCACGGAUAUAUUCGUCUCUUAU